GCGGGGGUAGCUCAGUUGGUAGAGCGCUAGCCUUCCAAGCUGGAUGUCGCGGGUUCGAGCCCCGUCCCCCGCUCCA
RNAcentral lists this transfer RNA (76 nucleotides) under Chloroflexota bacterium. RNAcentral's name for it is "Chloroflexi bacterium tRNA-Gly". It matches the Rfam family "tRNA". From Rfam's summary of the family: Transfer RNA (tRNA) molecules are approximately 80 nucleotides in length. Their secondary structure includes four short double-helical elements and three loops (D, anti-codon, and T loops). Lineage: Bacteria; Bacillati; Chloroflexota. The record is from RNAcentral.